AAAAAUCUGAUGACGGGAAAGAGUACUUUAUAGUGAAAUUUUCAGAGAGCCGAUGGGUGGUGUGAAUCGGUAAUGGAAGAUAAAGGAAAAUCAUCCCUGAAGAGAAGUGCUGAAUAUAUUAUUAAGCACUCACGAUUUUUCCACGUUAUAGGAAACGCGUAUGUUGGUACGUUGUAGAGAGCCCGUAAUAACAGUAAUGUAACGGGAAUCAGGGUGGUAACGCGGAAUAUACUCCGUCCCUCAG
RNAcentral lists this non-coding RNA (244 nucleotides) under Megasphaera sp. RNAcentral's name for it is "T-box sequence". It matches the Rfam family "T-box leader". From Rfam's summary of the family: Uncharged tRNA acts as the effector for transcription antitermination of genes in the T-box leader family. T-boxes are found upstream of many aminoacyl-tRNA synthetase genes and some amino acid biosynthetic genes usually in Gram-positive bacteria. Lineage: Bacteria; Bacillati; Bacillota; Negativicutes; Veillonellales; Veillonellaceae. The record is from RNAcentral.